Molecule: unclassified non-coding RNA, 375 nt
Filed under: rhizosphere metagenome
Description: partial ribosomal RNA internal transcribed spacer region
Source: RNAcentral
GUAGGUGAACCUGCGGAAGGAUCAUUAACACGUGAAUUACUCACGUUUUAAAACUAACCGUGAACUGUUGUAUCCCCUGGUGUAGAACAUAGGUGACAAGUUAGGAAAUAUGGUGCGAGAUGUAAACAGUCUCUCCCUUUCUUGUCUGUUGAGUCGAGUAAAAUCGAGCUCAUGCCCAUGCCUACAUUCAGAAGACUAAUUGCCGGUGUACAGCCUGCGCCAAUGGCUUGCAUUAGGUGGUGCUAUUUUAACCCCAAAUUACUAUUUAUUUCUGAUGUGUAUGCUUAUAUGGAUUCCCUUUCACGAGGUUGAGUCUUAUAAGUGUCGUAUAUAUUUAAUACGAAACAACUCUUAGCAACGGAUAUCUUGGUUCUC